Molecule: long non-coding RNA, 1802 nt
Organism: Pseudoliparis swirei
Lineage: Eukaryota; Metazoa; Chordata; Actinopteri; Perciformes; Liparidae
Exons: 4
Source: RefSeq, a predicted model, not a curated record
GGCCGCAAGGUGAACAUCGAAAAGUCCUUUAGAAAAUGAAUCCCGCUCCACAGUCGCGCAUCUACACAAUAUUUAGUUCAUAAAAAAGAAAGUCGUGCUUAGCUACCAAAAAAAAGUUUGUCGCUGAAUUUGCCGUCGAUUCUCGAUGCGACUAUGUUUUAUGCCGAACUAGUUUCUUCAGAGCGUAAUAUGAUCUUGGUCACGAGUAGUGGCACGGUUCGACACGUGAUCGGUCUACACCAAUGAGGUAGCUGCUUUUUGUCAACAGAAUGGCAAGAUGGCGUCCUCGAGCAGUACGGAAGACGAAGAAAAUACACCGGAAUAUAUUAAUAAAUCAAAAAACAAACAUUGUUUUAUGCAUAUUACUUCAGUCAAGCACGAGGAGGUACAUCAUUUCACCACUACACGAUGGAAUACAUACAGGACAAGCCUACAAACGUGGCUCGGGUUGGACGGUGAGUCUCGGGACGUGGCUGAGAACUUCGAACACUGUGUUGAUGUGGAGUUUGACAAUAUUCCCGAGGAUGCUGGCUUCCAUCACACGUGCUACUGUAGAUUUACGGACAAAAAAUCCAUGGCAAAGGUGGAAAGAAGGAGAAGUUCGUCAACCGAGCAGGCAAACGACAAAGGGAUACUCUGUCAAAGGCUGAAACAUUAACAGCAGGCCAAUUGCAGAAAGCUGCCGAGUUGAAGGACGACCAAAGUAUUCUUUUGCAUAUAAAAGACAGACUGUGUGGCUCUGGAGGUGCAGUACCACAAAGGCUGUUAUAAUCAGUACACCAGGUUUUUGACGAGGCCUGAAAAACCAGAGAAAGACCAGAAUGAGCCCACGUUUGAUGUCAGCGAUAAGAUAUUCUGUGAAAGGAUCAUUGGCCAAAGGCUGCUUGUCAACCAAGAGGUGCUGAGAAUGGGCCAGCUGAAGAAGGCCUUCAUUGAACUGACAGGAUAUGUUGAAGGAGAGGCUGGCUCGUGAUUUCCCCCAGCUGGUGUUUCACAUUCCCACCAAGCGCAACAUCUGCGAGCUGGUUUUUGCAGAGACCCUGUCAACCAUUGACAUUACCAAGGUGUCAUCAGCUCUCGGAACCAGUGUGUGUUCAGCCUUGAUCGGGAAUUCACACAUUCUCUGGGUGUGACUCCACAAGUGCCUUUUAUGGCAAAGGGAAAAAAAAGACAUUUUCUGUUGCAUGUGAGAAAGGUGAGUACCUAAAGGCUUUUAAAAGUUUAGGUACUCACUUUAACUUGGAGCAGUCAACAUUUGCACUUCUUUGCCAGUAUGUGUGCCGCUUAUAUGAUCAGCCAGCUGCCGAUAAUGUAAAUGAAGCUAGGUACAAGGCUUUCUGUAUGGCAUCAUCAGCCUUGCCAGAAAUAUGCAUUCCCCCAACUACUGAUGCCCUCCAACAGCACUGCAAACGGGCAAACUACCAGGCUGCAAUAAUGAGGUCCUGUCGCAAACAAAAAAGAAGUGCUCCGUCACCUGCUGGAUAUGGUUGGCAAAUAGAGGAUGGGACCUUGCACAUCACCUGGAUGACCAGAAAUCCGGCCCCUGACAGUGUUUUCCAUGUCAUACACUGCAGCUGCAAAGGUGCCUGUGAGACAGGAAGAUGUUCCUGUUUUUCUGCAGGAUUGUGUUGCACAGACUUCUGUCGUUGCUGUAAUUGUGCCAACACCAAAGACACCGAGCAACUGGAAGACAACUGUCCUGACACUGACAGUGAGGACUGAGCGUCCUUAAUGUUAUUUCUUUUGUAGUUUUGUACAGUUUUAUAUAUGUCAUAUUUUUCAUAAAGAUUGUUUCUAUUGUU